UACGGAGGGUGCAAGCGUUGUCCGGAUUUAUUGGGUUUAAAGGGUGCGUAGGCGGUUAAUUAAGUCAGUGGUGAAAUCCUGGAGCUCAACUUCAGAACUGCCAUUGAUACUGGUUGACUUGAGUACAGACGAGGUUGGCGGAAUUGAUGGUGUAGCGGUGAAAUGCAUAGAUACCAUCAAGAACACCGAUUGCGAAGGCAGCUAACUAGACUGUAACUGACGCUGAGGCACGAAAGUGUGGGGAUCAAACAGG
RNAcentral lists this ribosomal RNA (253 nucleotides) under uncultured bacterium. RNAcentral describes it as "partial 16S ribosomal RNA". It matches the Rfam family "Bacterial small subunit ribosomal RNA", at positions 524 to 776 of the family's 1533-position model. The record is from RNAcentral.